ACGCGUUAAAGACCAUUACCAAUUUCCAUAUAUACGAGUCAUUAGGGGGGACAACUAUUGUGCAAUAAGGAGCACCAUCUUCCAGAUUUUAGUCUAUUCCUUUGCUCUUCCAAAAGAUUGGUCUUCCAGCGACUCUACUGCGAGUGAAAUUAAAAUUGACUUUUGUAAAACAGUUAUGAGUCGAUUCAAAUUUGCAGAAUGCAGAAACAGUCCUAUCAAAGAAUCAACUGAAUUAGUGCCAAUUUGUUUUAAAGCGUACUAUGAAAUGGCACAGAAACUGCAAGAAUAUUCAACAAUUGUUGAAAAGCAAAAUGUAUUAGCUAAAGCCUUGAAUUCAGACGCAGAUUGUGACCUUAACAUCAUGGAAGCAGUCAAACUGCUAAUGGUUCAGUGUGCUGUAAGUCUCUUUGUUGACAGAGAGGGGGGAAAGAAAGUGCCAGAGUGGGCGACGCAUCUGUUUGAUCGAGAUGGUUCAAAAACUGUUGAACAAUUAAUAAGCAAUCAUUUGAACAAAGUAGGACACAAGUGUGGAUUGGAACAGGUUGAAAUGUGCUUGCUGGGAUACAGCUUGGGUGUUCGUAUUCGGGUUCUGCGUCUCAUUUACUUUAACAAGGUGGAUUUUGAAGCUUUCUACCCACCGGAAGACAAAGAUGAUUUGCCUGUUGUGACAUUAAUUUCAGAGGAUGACCGACACUACAACAUUCCAGUGGAAUAAUUCAGCCAUUGGCGUCCACACUGAACUAGUCAAUUAUUCUGAAGGAAUCCUUGUACAUGGUUAUGUCUGACCAAUUAUAAGCCAUGCAACAGGACAUUGGACAUCAUCUUAAAGAUGUAUUGAACUCCUUCAUUAGACUUUGUUCAAUUAUUGUUAUAUACUUAAUGGGAUACCUUGGAGGCGUCUUUCCAGAUAUAGACAGUGUCUGGAAGAACUCAACCCUAACAGAAAAUAUAUACUAAUGAGUUCUUACUUUUGUGCAUGUAUAGCAAAAUUUAAAAACUCAAGUUAAUCAGCAACAUUUUGUGUGAUAAUCUUUCUUGGUGGUUAUAUAUAACAAGAAACAAAAAUUGUUUAGUGUUUUUUUCUAUACCACAAAACUAAUAUUGCUCCAAUGGUCCUAUAACCCUACAGAAAGUUCUGAAAAUUAAUUAUUGAAACCAUGAUGUAAAAUAUGCAGUGACUAUAUUGUUCGAUAUUUUGUAAUUGAAUGUAUUCUGUGUUUAAGUCCAUAAAAUUUAAAGAUAUAUACUUAUGUUAAGACUAGUGUAUAUAUUAUCUUUUAUGUAAUUCUUGUUUGGGGAGCAUUAUCACAGCUCUGAAGGCUCUAAUAUCAUUCACCAUUUUGUCUUUAUGAUAUAAAUGUGUGGUACUGGUUGAUUAUAACAGGACGUUGCCUUAUGGAGCACUUAAGUUUUUUUAAUACAAAAAGAAAUUGAUCUCAUUUUGCUUGGAGAUAAUACUGCAAAGCAGGUUGAAAUGUUUUCAGUGCUCAAUAUUAGUAGAUUGUUAUUGUAGUAUAAAACGUAAGAGUAAAAUUGUUCUCUUGUCUGUUGUUUUAACCUCAGAUACAGUUAUGUUUGGCAUGAAAUUGAAUGUAUGCCAAAAGAAAAUUCUGAAGCUAUUUAGCUUGACUAUUGUUAAGUUUGAUGGUUACAUUGUUAGAAAGGUAAGGUUUUUCAAUGUCAGAGGCUAUAAUCUUAUUAACACUUUUUUCUUACAAUUAUGUUUGUAUCUGUUGAUUGAAUGGAAGUAGAUCCUGGAUGUUGAAGUAUCAAGCAAGUGGUAUUAAAGCUGAUGUAAUAGUGUAUGAAUGUUUUGGGUACUUAGUUGGCAUUAAAAACUUCCAUGCCACCAUUAAAUAAUGUUUACUAUUUGUUAAGUAUGAAUAUUUAUGUUUGAAAGGAGUUGUAUAGUCUUGCUGUUAUGGAAUUGACAUAAUAAACAGUUUAUUUGGUUUAUGAUUCAUGUUAAGUCUAAGUUUAAGUUAUUUUUAUUUUCAUAUUAUAUGUAUGUUAUUGCAUAAUAGUGUGCUGAACAUGUGUUCAGUGGCCAAUUUAAUUAUGCCCCCCUUCGAAGAAGAGGGGGUAUAUUGCUUUGCUCAUGUCGGUCUGUCGGUCGGUCUGUCGGUCCACCAGGUGGUUGUCAGACGAUAACUCAAGAACGCUUGGGCCUAGGAUCAUGAAACUUCAUAGGUACAUUGAUCAUGACUCGCAGAUGACCCCUAUUGAUUUUGAGGUCACUAGGUCAAGGUCACGGUGACCCGAAAUAGUAAAAUGGUUUCCUGAUGAUAACUCAAGAACGCUUAGGCCUAGGAUCAUGAAACUUGAUAGGUAGAUUGAUCAUGACUCGCAGAUGACCCCUAUUGAUUUUCAGGUCACUAGGUCAAAGGUCAAGGUCACAGUGACCCGAAAUAGUAAAAUGGUUUCCGGAUGAUAACUCAAGAACGCUUAGGCCUAGGAUCAUGAAACUUGAUAGGUAGAUUGAUCAUGACUCGCAGAUGACCCCUAUUGAUUUUCAGGUCACUAGGUCAAAGGUCAAGGUCACGGUGACCCGAAAUAGUAAAAUGGUGUCCGGAUGAUAACUCAAGAAUGCUUAUGGCUAGGAUCAUGAAACUUCAUAGGUACAUUGAUCAUGACUGGCAGAUGACCCCUAUUGAUUUUCUGGUCACUAGGUCAAAGGUCCAGGUCACAGUGACAAAAAACAUAUUCACACAAUGGCUCUCACUACAACGGAGAGCCCAUAUGGGGGGCAUGCAUGUUUUACAAACAGCCCUUGUUGAUUUUGAUAUUGUAAUUAUAAGAACAAGGGGUCAUUUUAGGAUACUAGACAUAUGUGACGCAAUUAAGCAUCAGGUCAGAAAUAUAUGUUCUGUUAAGUAGAAUUUUAUAAUUAAGCAGUUAUAUUUUGUUCCACAUGAACAUUGGAGAUGUUUAAAUACGUGUUUUUUAAUAAUGAUCAUAUAUUUAAUUUGAAUAUUGCCCUUGAUAUGCAUAAAAUAUAUUUGUUGGAAGCUAUCUUAGUAAUACUAUCGAAUUAGUACUGAGGUAUGAUAAAAUAAAAUAUUAAGUAUAUAUUAUACACAUGAAGGUAAGAAGCAAGUGGAGCAAGCCUUCAAUUCACCAAUGUUUAGUUAGACUAAGGCGUGAUACUGCAAAUAACAAAUAUUCAUGUUGUUUUUCCCAUGGUGUUAUCCUUCAGACAUUGAAUCAUUCUUUAGAAGAAUAUUAAUUAAUAUUUAUUUUUUUAUUUAUACUAUUUAUUUAGAAUCACUAUUUAUGACAAAGGUAGUUCUAACAGACUCUUACAUUAUGUGAACUUGUACCUCAAACAGUCACUUGCAAUUUCAAGUAUUUGAUUGUGACCUUACAUGUCCAGUAAACAUUUUAAUAUUAAAUUGUUAUUUUUAAUGUUAUUUUUUUAUGAACAAAUGUUAUUUGAAGCCUGUGAUUUAGGUAGAACUGCUUCAGCAGCUUGUGAUUACUUUUGUGCCAUGUAUUAAGGAAUAUUGAUCUAAAAAAUAAUUAAAUGCCUUUUUUUAUGUCCCCCACCACUAUAGUGGGGGACAUAUUGUUUUUGCCCUGUCUGUUGGUUUGUUUGUUUGUGUGUUUGUUUGUUUGUUUACCCCAUCUUUAACAUUUGCACUAUUGAAUAUAGCAACUUGAUAUUUGGCAUGCAUGUGUAUCUCAUGGAGCUGCACAUUUUGAGUGGUGAAAGUUCAAGGUCAUCCUUCAAGGUCAAAGGUCACAUAUAUAGCUUCAAAGCGGCGCAAAAGGGGACAUAGUGUUUCUGAAAAACACAUAUCUUGUUUUUAAGUUAAUCUAAUAUAAAUUUUGCGCUUUUUAUAUGUUAAAGAUUAAUGUUGAGAAGUAUAAAAUUAAUAAAUGUUUGAAUAAAAUUACUUUACUUUGUUUUAAGUAUAUAUUUUGCAAUUAAUAUUUUCAAUAUAUAACUUCUGGACUUCUCUUUUAAAUUGCGACGUUGCCUUUAAUAUAUAGUUGUAUAAUUGGGAGAAUACUUUUACCUCUAAUAAUUUAUAACACAGCGUGUUAACUGUAUUAUACAUUACAAUUGGUUAUUUGUAUAUUUAAAACAAAAUGUAUUUCAGAUACCGUUUAUAUAGUUUGUAAACUUUAAGUUAACUACUAAACUAUAAAAGUUUCUUUUGGUACAAUUUAAUGAACUGCCUCAAGUAUAAAUUAUACUUGAGACAGUUCAUUAAAUUGUACCAAAAGACGUAUAUUUCCCCUCUAAAAGUGUGUGUGUUUUUUUGGAAACCUUUAAUUUGAAAUUUUUAGGGGCCAAUUGGGAAUAAUAUAUACUUUUUUACAAUACGAUUGGGGCCCUGAAUUUGAACAGGAACAGAAACACUGACACAGGUAUUAAAACUGAGUAUUUAUAAUUGUUGAAAGGAAAUCACUGACAAAGACUACGGAUGGACAGGUAACAUGUUUGUUGAAAAGAAAAACAGAUUCAUAAAUUUGUCAAGCAACAAAUAAGAAUUUGGCAGAAUUCAGUAUUUGGAAUAAUUGAGUACCGGUAAUGUCAACCCAUUAAUGGAUCAUUGGUAAAAAAAUAUGUAAAAUUGAAACAAUAAAUCGAUAUCAUUAUUAAAGUUAACAACAAAUCGAUCUCGUUAUAUAAGUUAACCAGUGUAGAAAAUAUUAUAUUAUUAAAUUAUCUGUUGCCUUGAAUUUGUUUGAAAACAGUAAAAUAUGUUACAUUGAUUAUUUAAGACUUUCAUUAUUUCCCCCCCCCCCCCAAAUAAAGGAAAGGUCUUUCCCAAAAAUCAGAUAAAAAAGCCUUUGUGAAAAAAAAUGGUGGAAGCAAUUAGAGAGGUGAUAUGGAUAAUCGUCAUUAGUUGAAACCUGUAAGUUUAAUAAAUCUAAAGCUUUUAAUGUUGUUGUGAAUUCACACCAAUGUUUAAAGCUUAAGACUUCGGAAAGGUGCUGAUAUUUACUUGUUAUUUUCCAUAAA
Molecule: long non-coding RNA, 4972 nt
Organism: Dreissena polymorpha
Lineage: Eukaryota; Metazoa; Mollusca; Bivalvia; Myida; Dreissenidae
Exons: 5
Source: RefSeq, a predicted model, not a curated record